Molecule: ribosomal RNA, 404 nt
Filed under: Verrucomicrobiota bacterium
Lineage: Bacteria; Pseudomonadati; Verrucomicrobiota
Description: Verrucomicrobia bacterium partial 16S ribosomal RNA
Rfam family: Bacterial small subunit ribosomal RNA
Source: RNAcentral
UGGGGAAUAUUGCACAAUGGGGGAAACCCUGAUGCAGCGACGCCGCGUGAGCGAUGAAGGCUUUCGAGUCGUAAAGCUCUGUCCUAUGGGAAGAUAAUGACGGUACCAUAGAAGAAAGCCCCGGCUAAUUACGUGCCAGCAGCCGCGGUAAUACGUAAGGGGCGAGCGUUGUCCGGAAUUAUUGGGCGUAAAGAGUGCGUAGGCGGCAAAUUAAGUCAGAUGUGAAAACUAAGGGCUCAACCCAUAGAUUGCAUCUGAAACUGAUAUGCUUGAGUCAAGGAGAGGAAAGUGGAAUUCCUAGUGUAGCGGUGGAAUGCGUAGAUAUUAGGAGGAAUACCGGUGGCGAAGGCGACUUUCUGGACUUGAACUGACGCUGAGGCACGAAAGCGUGGGGAGCAAAAAGG